CGGCAAGAGCUCAGAUUUGAAAUCGUGCCAAUUUUUUUGGCACGAGUUGUAGAGUGUAGGCGGGAGUCUUUGUGGAGCACGGUGUCCAAGUCCCUUGGAACAGGGCGCCUGAGAGGGUGAGAGCCCCGUGGGGUGUCGUGCGAAGCUUUGAGGCCCUGCUGACGAGUCGAGUUGUUUGGGAAUGCAGCUCCAAGUGGGUGGUAAAUUCCAUCUAAGGCUAAAUACUGGCGAGAGACCGAUAGCGAACAAGUACUGUGAAGGAAAGAUGAAAAGCACUUUGAAAAGAGAGUGAAACAGCACGUGAAAUUGUUGAAAGGGAAGGGUAUUGGGCCCGACAUGGGGAGUGCGCACCGCUGUCUCUUGUAGGCGGCGCUCUGGGCGCUCUCUGGGCCAGCAUCGGUUCUUGCUGCGGGAGAAUGGGUGCCGGAAAGUGGCUCUUCGGAGUGUUAUAGCCGGCGCCAGAUACCGCGUGCGGGGACCGAGGACUGCGGCUUCUGUCUCGGAUGCUGGCACAACGGCGCAAUACCGCCCGU
Molecule: ribosomal RNA, 533 nt
Filed under: Pichia membranifaciens
Lineage: Eukaryota; Fungi; Ascomycota; Pichiomycetes; Pichiales; Pichiaceae
Description: partial large subunit ribosomal RNA
Rfam family: Eukaryotic large subunit ribosomal RNA
Source: RNAcentral